RNAcentral lists this ribosomal RNA (564 nucleotides) under Botryosphaeria dothidea. RNAcentral describes it as "eukaryotic LSU rRNA". The stretch from base 190 to 343 matches the Rfam family "5.8S ribosomal RNA". The record is from RNAcentral. Lineage: Eukaryota; Fungi; Ascomycota; Dothideomycetes; Botryosphaeriales; Botryosphaeriaceae.
AGGAUCAUUACCGAGUUGAUUCGGGCUCCGGCCCGAUCCUCCCACCCUUUGUGUACCUACCUCUGUUGCUUUGGCGGGCCGCGGUCCUCCGCGGCCGCCCCCCUCCCCGGGGGGUGGCCAGCGCCCGCCAGAGGACCAUCAAACUCCAGUCAGUAAACGAUGCAGUCUGAAAAACAUUUAAUAAACUAAAACUUUCAACAACGGAUCUCUUGGUUCUGGCAUCGAUGAAGAACGCAGCGAAAUGCGAUAAGUAAUGUGAAUUGCAGAAUUCAGUGAAUCAUCGAAUCUUUGAACGCACAUUGCGCCCUUUGGUAUUCCGAAGGGCAUGCCUGUUCGAGCGUCAUUACAACCCUCAAGCUCUGCUUGGUAUUGGGCACCGUCCUUUGCGGGCGCGCCUCAAAGACCUCGGCGGUGGCGUCUUGCCUCAAGCGUAGUAGAACAUACAUCUCGCUUCGGAGCGCAGGGCGUCGCCCGCCGGACGAACCUUCUGAACUUUUCUCAAGGUUGACCUCGGAUCAGGUAGGGAUACCCGCUGAACUUAAGCAUAUCAAUAAGGCGGAGGAA